RNAcentral lists this ribosomal RNA (636 nucleotides) under uncultured Eurotium. RNAcentral describes it as "LSU rRNA". It matches the Rfam family "Eukaryotic large subunit ribosomal RNA", at positions 44 to 664 of the family's 3401-position model. Lineage: Eukaryota; Fungi; Ascomycota; Eurotiomycetes; Eurotiales; Aspergillaceae. The record is from RNAcentral.
CAAUAAGCGGAGGAAAAGAAACCAACAGGGAUUGCCUCAGUAACGGCGAGUGAAGCGGCAAGAGCUCAAAUUUGAAAUCUGGCUCCUUCGGGGUCCGAGUUGUAAUUUGUAGAGGAUGCUUCGGGUGCGGCCCCCGUCUAAGUGCUCUGGAACGGGCCAUCGGAGAGGGUGAAAAUCCCGUCUGGGACGGGGUGUCCGCGUCCAUGUGAAGCUCCUUCGACGAGUCGAGUUGUUUGGGAAUGCAGCUCUAAAUGGGUGGUAAAUUUCAUCUAAAGCUAAAUACUGGCCGGAGACCGAUAGCGCACAAGUAGAGUGAUCGAAAGAUGAAAAGCACUUUGAAAAGAGAGUUAAACAGCACGUGAAAUUGUUGAAAGGGAAGCGCUUGCGACCAGACUCGCUUCCGGGGUUCAGCCGGCUUUCGGGCCGGUGUACUUCCCCGGGGGCGGGCCAGCGUCGGUUUGGGCGGCCGGUCAAAGGCCCCUGGAAUGUAACGCCCCUCGGGGGCGCCUUAUAGCCAGGGGGUGUCAUGCGGCCAGCCCUGGACCGAGGAACGCGCUUCGGCACGGACGCUGGCAUAAUGGUCGUAAACGACCCGUCUUGAAACACGGACCCAAGGAGANUCACUAGGUGCGGCCC